Molecule: ribosomal RNA, 460 nt
Filed under: uncultured bacterium
Lineage: Bacteria
Description: partial 16S ribosomal RNA
Rfam family: Bacterial small subunit ribosomal RNA
Source: RNAcentral
CCUACGGGAGGCAGCAGUGAGGAAUAUUGGUCAAUGGGCGUAAGCCUGAACCAGCAAAGCCGCGUGCGGGAUGAAGGUUCUAUGAAUCGUAACCCUCUUUUAUACGGGGAUAAAGUCUGGUACGUGUCUUAUUUUGUAUGUAUCUUACGAAUAAGGAUCGGCUAACUCCGUGCCAGCAGCCGCGGUAAUACGGAGGAUCAAAGCGUUAUCCGGAUUUAUUGGGUUUAAAGGGUGCGUAGGCGGACUUUUAAGUUAGCGGUGAAAGUCCGUGGCUCAACUAUAGAAUUGCCGUUGAAACUGGGGGGCUUGAGUAUGGUUGAGGCAGGCGGAAUGCGUGGUGUAGCGGUGAAAUGCUUAGAUAUCACGCAGAACCCCGAUUGCGAAGGCAGCCUGCCAAGCCAUGACUGACGCUGAUGCACGAAAGCGUGGGGAUCAAACAGGAUUAGAUACCCCAGUAGUC